Molecule: long non-coding RNA, 101 nt
Organism: Octodon degus (degu)
Lineage: Eukaryota; Metazoa; Chordata; Mammalia; Rodentia; Octodontidae
Exons: 3
Source: RefSeq, a predicted model, not a curated record
UUAGAUAACUGCAAAUCAGUACAGGACUCUGUAAUACCAGAUGAACUUUUUAAAUAUAGGCUCCUUUAAAAUUAUUAUGCUAGGAGACUGGGGAGAUAGCU